GAUGAACGCUGGCGGCGUGCCUAAUACAUGCAAGUCGAGCGAACAGACGAGGAGCUUGCUCCUUUGACGUUAGCGGCGGACGGGUGAGUAACACGUGGGUAACCUACCUAUAAGACUGGGAUAACUUCGGGAAACCGGAGCUAAUACCGGAUAAUAUUUCGAACCGCAUGGUUCGAUAGUGAAAGAUGGCCUUGCUGUCACUUAUAGAUGGAUCUGCGCCGUAUUAGCUAGUUGGUAAGGUAACGGCUUACCAAGGCAACGAUGCGUAGCCGACCUGAGAGGGUGAUCGGCCACACUGGAACUGAGACACGGUCCAGACUCCUACGGGAGGCAGCAGUAGGGAAUCUUCCGCAAUGGGCGAAAGCCUGACGGAGCAACGCCGCGUGAGUGAUGAAGGUCUUCGGAUCGUAAAACUCUGUUAUUAGGGAAGAACAAACGUGUAAGUAACUGUGCACGUCUUGACGGUACCUAAUCAGAAAGCCACGGCUAACUACGUG
RNAcentral lists this ribosomal RNA (497 nucleotides) under uncultured bacterium. Its description in RNAcentral is "partial 16S ribosomal RNA". It matches the Rfam family "Bacterial small subunit ribosomal RNA", at positions 28 to 507 of the family's 1533-position model. The record is from RNAcentral.